AGCUUUGCACAGUGGCAGUAUUAUAGCUAAUGAGGUUUAUCUUAGGCGCAAUUAUUGCUAAUUGAAAACCACAAUAAGAUACCACC
RNAcentral lists this small nuclear RNA (86 nucleotides) under Neogale vison (American mink). RNAcentral describes it as "Neovison vison (American mink) U4 spliceosomal RNA (ENSNVIG00000003964.1)". It matches the Rfam family "U4 spliceosomal RNA", at positions 1 to 86 of the family's 138-position model. Rfam says of the family: U4 small nuclear RNA (U4 snRNA) is a component of the major U2-dependent spliceosome. Lineage: Eukaryota; Metazoa; Chordata; Mammalia; Carnivora; Mustelidae. The record is from RNAcentral.